AUGAAUGGAUGCAGCCAGGAAAUGCAGCCAGGAAAUGCAAUGAAUGGAUGCAGCCAGGAAAUGCAACGAAUGGAUGCAGCCAGGAAAUGCAACGAAUGGAUGCAGCCAGGAAAUGCAGCCAGGAAAUGCAAUGAAUUGAUGCAGGCAGGAAAUGCAAUGAAUGGAUGCAGCCAGGAAAUGCAACGAAUGGAUGCAGACAGGAAAUGCAAUGAAUGGAUGCAGCCAGGAAAUGCAGCCAGGAAAUGCAACCAACGGAUGCAGUUGGGAAAUGCGACAUGGGGGUGCAGUCAGGAAAUGCAACACGUGGAUGCAGCUGCAGCCAGGAAAUGCAAUGAAGGGAUACAGCCAGGAAAUGCAGCCAAGAAAUGCAAUGAAAGGAUGCAACUGCAGUCAGGGAAUGCAAAGAAUGAGUGCAACCAGGAAUUGCAACCAGGAAUUGCAAUGAAUGGGUGCAGUCAGGGAUUGCAAGGAAUGGAUGCAGUCAGGAAAUGCAACAAACUGAUGCAGCCAGGAAACACAGCGAAUGGAUGCAGUCAGGAAAUGCAAAGAAGAGAUGCAGCUGCAGCCAGGAGAUGCAAUGAAGGGAUGCAGCCGGGAAAUGCAGCCAAGAAAUGCAAUGAAGUGAUGCAGCUGCAGCCAGGAAAUGCAAUGAAGGGAAGCAGCCAGGAAAUGCAACCAGGAAUUGCAAGGAAUGGGUGCAGUCAGGAAUUGCAACAAAGGGAUGCAGUCAGUGAAUGCAACAAAGGGAUGCAGCCAGGAAAUGCAAUGAAGGGAUGCAGCCAGGAAAUGCAGCGAAUGGGUGCAGUUGGGAAAUGCGACAAGGGGGUGCAGUCAGGAAAUGCAACGAAGGGAAGCAGCAAGGAAAUGCAGCCGGUAAAUGCAAUGAAGGGAUGCAGCUGCAGCCAGGAAAUGCAGCCAGGAAAUGCAAUGAAGGGAUGCAGCCAUCGAAUGCAACAAACUGAUGCAGCUGCAGUCAGGAAACGCAAUGGAAGACUGCAGCUGCAGCCAGGGAAUUCAACAAAUGGAUGCAGUCAGGAACUGCAACAAACUGACUCAGCCAAGAAAUGCAACAAAUGGAUGCAGUCAGGAAAUGCAAAGAAGGGAUGCAGCUGCAGCCAGGAGAUGCAACGAAGGGUUGCAGGUGCUGCCAGAAAAUGCAAUGAAGGGAUGUAG
Molecule: long non-coding RNA, 1173 nt
Filed under: Coturnix japonica (Japanese quail)
Lineage: Eukaryota; Metazoa; Chordata; Aves; Galliformes; Phasianidae
Description: lncRNA (ENSCJPG00005001426.1)
Source: RNAcentral